RNAcentral lists this ribosomal RNA (253 nucleotides) under uncultured bacterium. Its description in RNAcentral is "partial 16S ribosomal RNA". It matches the Rfam family "Bacterial small subunit ribosomal RNA", at positions 524 to 776 of the family's 1533-position model. The record is from RNAcentral.
UACGAAGGGGGCUAGCGUUGCUCGGAAUCACUGGGCGUAAAGGGUGCGUAGGCGGGUCUUUAAGUCAGGGGUGAAAUCCUGGAGCUCAACUCCAGAACUGCCUUUGAUACUGAAGAUCUUGAGUUCGGGAGAGGUGAGUGGAACUGCGAGUGUAGAGGUGAAAUUCGUAGAUAUUCGCAAGAACACCGGUGGCGAAGGCGGCCAACUGGUCCGGAUCUGACGCUGAGGCGCGAAAGCGUGGGGAGCAAACAGG